Acipenser ruthenus (sterlet) is the source of this 1192-nucleotide long non-coding RNA. RefSeq lists it as uncharacterized. NCBI's taxonomy places the organism in Eukaryota, Metazoa, Chordata, Actinopteri, Acipenseriformes, Acipenseridae. The transcript has 2 exons. The record is from RefSeq and is a predicted model, not a curated record.
GGGGGCCGAAUACUUUCGCAAGGCACUGUACAUGCAGUAUUAAUAUAGCAGUAAAUGCAGAUUUACUGGCACAUUCUUCACAAUAAUAUGUUCUACUGGUAGUGAACUAGCAAUAUUUAGAAGCUGUGUUUAUUGGCUUGAAAAGAUGGUCUUGCAAGUUAUUAAUAUAACCAGCGCUCCAGAUAAGGUUUUGGGUCAAUGUGUGUAAAAUGUAACAUUACCUUGAAGUCAUGAGUACUUCCAAUAAUUACAGUACAUACUGUAAUGCUAAUUUUAUGGAGUAUGCAUUAACUACAGCCUUACAUUAACUGUAAUGUUACUUUGAACAACUUUACAGAAACUUAGAAUAAAGACUUUAAAGUAUUUAAUAUAUAGAUUUACCUUCCACGAAUUCAGUUGACAGAUGUAAAAUUGGCAGGUUAACUUGAGGGGGAGAAAGCCGGCGCACUGAGAAAUCCUGACGAUCUUUCACCAGUCACAAAAACGCACUGCAAAUUACGGUUGGCAAUCUCUAGUGCUCUGUAGAGGUGGCAAGGACAAAGCUGUAUGUUGUGGCCAUGGAUGACUACUUGACUGGCUAAGACUACCUUGUGGGAGUGGUGAGGACAUAUGAUUCUGAGGAACACUUUCAGAAUGUUGCACCAUCCUUGUCACUUCAAACAAUCACUUAGGAUUACCUAAAACAAUACUGUUAUUGACAGAUGCAGUGUAUAGAGACUGCUUUUAUAAAUCAUGGCAUCAGUUUACUGUACUUUAUUAAACUGGUUGUAAACCUGCUACUGUGCUGAGGUGGUUUCAUUGUAUACCCUAUCCCUUUAAGGAAUGGUACCUGUUAGAACUUUCUCUAGAAAUGUUUGAAAGCAGCAGAAGAUAAUGUUUAUUGGCUUGACAUAUCUAUUGUAUCUGUUUUGCCAUAAGCGCAUCAGUGUGACAAAAAAAAAACAACCUUCAAAACCAAUUGAUCACACUAUAGCUUUAUUAUGAAUUAAAUACAAAUACAUGAAACAUAUGCAAAACAAAAAAGGAUAAAUUCGUUAAGGUUUAAUAUCUGCAUCAAUAAACAGGAGAAUCUGGUACAAUCAUUGGUUAAGUUUUGAAACAAGUCUUUAAAAUAAAAAUACUGAUUUAUUUUUCAAGCGAGAGAUACCGCAAGAACAGCAAGGCCUCAAUUCAUUUUAAUUUAACACACACA